RNAcentral lists this RNase P RNA (363 nucleotides) under bovine gut metagenome. RNAcentral describes it as "Bacterial RNase P class A". It matches the Rfam family "Bacterial RNase P class A". Rfam says of the family: Ribonuclease P (RNase P) is a ubiquitous endoribonuclease, found in archaea, bacteria and eukarya as well as chloroplasts and mitochondria. The record is from RNAcentral.
UUGAUUAGUCGCUGGUAAAAUUCCGAAAGGAUUUACGAGAGGAAAGUCCGGGCUCCAUAGAGCAAAGAUGCUAGAUAACGUCUAGUGAGGGUGACCUUAAGGAAAGUGCAACAGAAAAUAACCGCCACAUGACUUCUUUUUAGUUAUGUGUUGCAUGUGGCAAGGAUGAAAAGGCGAGGUAAGAGCUCACCGGCUUCAAGGUGACUUGAGGCGUCAGUGUAAACCCCAUCUGGAGCAACACCUAAAAUGGAUAUUAACACUUGCUCAGUGGUCCAAAAUUGCGUGGCUUGAGCUAUAUAGCAAUAUAUAGCCUAGAUAAAUGACUAAUUUAAAUGCCAGAACCCGGCUUACAGAUUUACUCUU